UCGGAGUGCUUGCACUCUGUGAAACAAGAUGCAGGCUAGCGGCGGACGGGUGAGUAACACGUGGGUAACCUGCCCAAGAGAUCGGGAUAACACCUGGAAACAGAUGCUAAUACCGGAUAACAACAGAUGAUGCCUAUCAACUGUUUAAAAGAUGGUUCUGCUAUCACUCUUGGAUGGACCUGCGGUGCAUUAGCUAGUUGGUAGGGUAACGGCCUACCAAGGCGAUGAUGCAUAGCCGAGUUGAGAGACUGAUCGGCCACAUUGGGACUGAGACUCGGCCCAAACUCCUACGGGAGGCAGCAGUAGGGAAUCUUCCACAAUGGACGCAAGUCUGAUGGAGCAACGCCGCGUGAGUGAAGAAGGGUUUCGGCUCGUAAAGCUCUGUUGUUGGUGAAGAAGGACAGGGGUAGUAACUGACCUUUGUUUGACGGUAAUCAAUUAGAAAGUCACGGCUAACUACGUGCCAGCAGCCGCGGUAAUACGUAGGUGGCAAGCGUUGUCCGGAUUUAUUGGGCGUAAAGCGAGUGCAGGCGGUUCGAUAAGUCUGAUGUGAAAGCCUUCGGCUCAACCGGAGAAUUGCAUCAGAAACUGUCGAGCUUGAGUACAGAAGAGGAGAGUGGAACUCCAUGUGUAGCGGUGAAAUGCGUAGAUAUAUGGAAGAACACCGGUGGCGAAGGCGGCUCUCUGGUCUGUUACUGACGCUGAGGCUCGAAAGCAUGGGUAGCGAACAGGAUUAGAUACCCUGGUAGUCCAUGCCGUAAACGAUGAGUGCUAAGUGUUGGGAGGUUUCCGCCUCUCAGUGCUGCAGCUAACGCAUUAAGCACUC
RNAcentral lists this ribosomal RNA (826 nucleotides) under uncultured bacterium. RNAcentral's name for it is "bacterial SSU rRNA". It matches the Rfam family "Bacterial small subunit ribosomal RNA", at positions 71 to 869 of the family's 1533-position model. The record is from RNAcentral.